AACGAACGCUGGCGGCAGGCUUAACACAUGCAAGUCGAACGGUCUCUUCGGAGGCAGUGGCAGACGGGUGAGUAACGCGUGGGAAUCUACCUGAUACUACGGAACAACAGAGGGAAACUUCUGCUAAUACCGUAUACGCCCCACGGGGGAAAGAUUUAUCGGUAUCAGAUGAGCCCGCGUAAGAUUAGCUAGUUGGUGGG
Molecule: ribosomal RNA, 200 nt
Filed under: uncultured bacterium
Lineage: Bacteria
Description: partial 16S ribosomal RNA
Rfam family: Bacterial small subunit ribosomal RNA
Source: RNAcentral